This 559-nucleotide ribosomal RNA is filed under the name Geosmithia lavendula. RNAcentral's name for it is "eukaryotic LSU rRNA". It matches the Rfam family "Eukaryotic large subunit ribosomal RNA", at positions 29 to 599 of the family's 3401-position model. Lineage: Eukaryota; Fungi; Ascomycota; Sordariomycetes; Hypocreales; Bionectriaceae. The record is from RNAcentral.
UGAACUUAAGCAUAUCAAUAAGCGGAGGAAAAGAAACCAACAGGGAUUGCCUCAGUAACGGCGAGUGAAGCGGCAACAGCUCAAAUUUGAAAUCUGGCCCCCAGGCCCGAGUUGUAAUUUGUAGAGGAUGAUUCUGGCGACGCGCCUUCCGAGUUCCCUGGAACGGGACGCCAUAGAGGGUGAGAGCCCCGUCCGGUCGUGCGCCUAGCCUCUGUGAAUCUCCUUCGACGAGUCGAGUAGUUUGGGAAUGCUGCUCUAAAUGGGAGGUAUACGUCUUCUAAAGCUAAAUACCGGCCAGAGACCGAUAGCGCACAAGUAGAGUGAUCGAAAGAUGAAAAGCACUUUGAAAAGAGGGUUAAAAAGUACGUGAAAUUGCUGAAAGGGAAGCGCUUAUGACCAGACUUGGGCGUGGUGAAUCAUCCGGCGUUCUCGCCGGUGCACUUUGCCUGUCCAGGCCAGCAUCAGUUCUCCCCGGGGGAUAAAGGCUUCGGGAAUGUAGCUCCUUCGGGAGUGUUAUAGACCGUUGCGUAAUACCCUGGGGGGGACUGAGGUACGCGUU